RNAcentral lists this ribosomal RNA (243 nucleotides) under Triticum aestivum (bread wheat). RNAcentral describes it as "partial small subunit ribosomal RNA". Lineage: Eukaryota; Viridiplantae; Streptophyta; Magnoliopsida; Poales; Poaceae. The record is from RNAcentral.
AUGGAUUGGCCGGCUCUCACCAGCUGCACCACGGUCAUGAUCCUUCUCUUCCUACCGUUGAGCACUUCCCAAGACCGGCUUGUCCCUGGCAGGGCGCUGUCCCCUGGUAACACCAUCGUCUCCGAUGAUGGUGGAUUCGCCUUGGGCUUCUUCAACCCCUCCAAUUCUUCUCCGGCCAGCCUGUACCUAGGCGUAUGGUACAACGACAUCCCCGAGCUCACCGUUGUGUGGGUCGCCAACUGA